Molecule: ribosomal RNA, 491 nt
Filed under: uncultured bacterium
Lineage: Bacteria
Description: partial 16S ribosomal RNA
Rfam family: Bacterial small subunit ribosomal RNA
Source: RNAcentral
GUGAACGCUGGCGGUAGGCCUAACACAUGCAAGUCGAACGGCAGCACAGUAAGAGCUUGCUCUUACGGGUGGCGAGUGGCGGACGGGUGAGGAAUACAUCGGAUUCUACUUUUUCGUGGGGGAUAACGUAGGGAAACUUACGCUAAUACCGCAUACGACCUACGGGUGAAAGCAGGGGAUCUUCGGACCUUGCGCGAUUGAAUGAGCCGAUGUCGGAUUAGCUAGUUGGCGGGGUAAAGGCCCACCAAGGCGACGAUCCGUAGCUGGUCUGAGAGGAUGAUCAGCCACACUGGAACUGAGACACGGUCCAGACUCCUACGGGAGGCAGCAGUGGGGAAUAUUGGACAAUGGGCGCAAGCCUGAUCCAGCCAUACCGCGUGGGUGAAGAAGGCCUUCGGGUUGUAAAGCCCUUUUGUUGGGAAAGAAAAGCAGCAGGUUAAUACCCCGCUGUUCUGACGGUACCCAAAGAAUAAGCACCGGCUAACUUCGUG